AAAACAUUUUUUAAUGAGAAAAUACAAAGGUCCUUCGGCAAAUGGACAAAGUGUAUACAGAAAUCGAGUGAUUAUGUCAAAAAAUGAUGUAUGUCUUUUUUGACAAUUGCUUAAAAUAAAUUCUACACCGACAGAGCGGGCUGUUAAUCUAGAGGCUGGAGUACAAAGAAGUGGCACAAUGAUGUGGGCUGAUGACAUUUAUAAUUAUCAAGGAAUCACCCCUACAUUCGCUCAGAAUUUUAAUGAAACUGUCCCUUGGGAAGGAAGAACUGAUACCUUGAUAUCACGGUUUGUACAUCCUAUAUAUACGACAAAUUUUAGAACAUUAUAUAAUGAAGAACCAGAUCGUCGUGGCCAUGUGAUGUGAAUAAAAGGACUUGAAUUUGAUGAUAUUUUUAUAAUGUUAGAUAACAUAACUAAGUAUCUUCACAGUAAGAUAGGAUGACAUGGUUUACAUGAUCUUAAUGUUGUUCACUUGAGUGAUGAUAUUAUAAGGAAAAGUGUAAUAUCACAGGAUAUUUAUGUUUAGUAACCAGUAAUUCAGAGAUUGGUAUUCAUGGUUACUAUAACGAGGCUGUAGAAACGCACCCUUUCUUCUUUGCAAAUGGUCCUGUAUUUAUGUCUAAGCCGAAACUGGAACCUCUGAAUAAUUUAGAUUUAUUCUUGUUAUUUUCUAAAAUACUUAUCUACAGUAUACCAUAAGGAAUGAUACCGUAUCGCACCUAAUCAAGUGCCUUAAGAAACAUCAACAGGAUAUCACAGUAAUCCCUUAUCGACAGAUAUUUGUAGCCACUACAAUAUCUAUGACACUGGUAGUAAUUAUAAGAACAAUAAUGAUGUUCUAUAAGAGGAAAUGAUGAUUAGGAACAAAAACUUACAAGAGAUAUCAUGCGGUGGAUGGAUAAUAUGUAAAAAAUAUUAAGCAGUAUAUGAAUUUUCAUAUUGCGUAGAGAUAACAAAAUGAAUUUUAAAAAAUGUCGACAUAGUAAUAAGAAAUAGCAUCAUGACAAAGAAUAUAUAAAGACAGUUUCAUUUUUUAUAAAUAAAAAUUUGUUGUUCCAGAUUUUGAAAUAUAGUGAAACGUUUAAUUAGUAUCUUAAUAUCUUUAAAUAAUUAUUAUUUUAGAAUCAAUUGUAAUUGUAUCAUACGUACUUUUGAAUUCGUGCAAGAACAUAUGUAAUUUUGAAGUAGUUAUUAUUAGGAAAUUGUUAGACGCGAACAGUAUGCGAAAAGUUAGUAUGCAGUGUAAUAAUUAUCAAUCAAAACACAAGAAUUAAAUUCUUGAGGAAAAAAUUUCCGGAAUUUCUUAUUUACAUGAUUAUAAAGAAAUCCAUAAUAAAAAGGAGCUGCUUUCUAAUACUUCUCUUCCUUGUAAUGCCUACGUUAACAAUAACGAGGUUCGACUUCUUGUUUUUAGAGGGAUACUGGAAAAUUUGAAAGUACAGUACCAUUGGGAAGAAAAUCACGAUAUUGAAAACGAUAUUUGCAAAUUGAACAAUAUUCCAGAUUUAUUCAUAAUUUCAUACUACGCGAAGAAUAGACUUUCAUAGGUAUAUAAAGGAAAUAUUAAGUAUAGGAAAACUCUUCUUCGUUGUAGGUGACAUAUGCUUCACGGUUGAAUACAUGUAUUUUUGAACACAUAUAAAUGAAAAAGUACUCUUAUGGAGAAAAAGAAUUGAUACCUUCGAUUGACAUUAGAUAAUGUAUAUAAACUUAUGAACAAUCACUAUCAGUUUGUAUUUUAGGUGCACACGCAGAUUUGUUGGAGUUCUUAUAAAAUGUACUUCCUGUACGAACGUUUUAUUCUUCCAAAUUUUACGAUACUAUGUCUCAUAUAAUAACUUUAUGGAUUAAACGUAAUAUAAAUAAUCCGAAAAUAGACUCGAACGACAUUAAUUGUCUUUCUAUUUAUACCAAUAUGGAAAAUACAAGUAAAGCUGGAGCAAUAGUAUGCAAGAAUGGACUAUUUAUUAUUUUAAACCAAAUCAUAGCAUAUUCAGAAUGCACAGUAUUAUCAUGAAAUGUAAAUGAAUCAGUUGUAAACGAACGAUUUUACUGUAAAAUCAUUGCCUCCUUUUUUUCAUCUGAAAUAUAGCAGCAAUGAGUACAUUCUUUUAAUAUAUAAUAAAACGAGAUAUCUUUAUAAAGUUACAUAUGUCAUCACUGGUAACUGUUAUCUCGUAUGACAUCAAAUAUACCGUUAGUAUGGAAUGAUAUUUUUAUGAAGAUAUACUUUAAUGAUAGAUUUUAUGAAUGAAACGUUAUAUAAGAAAAAUUAUCUCUUGUUAUUCUAUGAAGUGUAGUAGCUAAUGAAGAUUAAUUUUACGAAGUAUUAGAGCAAAAGAGAAUUAAAAAAUUAAAAAGAUCUAAAUAAGA
Bombus huntii is the source of this 2376-nucleotide long non-coding RNA. RefSeq lists it as uncharacterized. The transcript has 7 exons. Lineage: Eukaryota; Metazoa; Arthropoda; Insecta; Hymenoptera; Apidae. The record is from RefSeq and is a predicted model, not a curated record.